UUUCAUUCUUACUUGUCGUCUACAACUGUGAAGGUGAGCUGAGUAAUAAUACUGAUAUGACUAUCUUUUUCAGGAAACAAAGCUUAUGCAUGUAGUUUUCCUAUUCCUUUCCAGCUACUCAUUUUUCCUGAGUGAACCCUACUGUAGGCCGGUCAUCAAGCUAUGAUUGAAUGUGCUUAGAUUAUGGGCAUACGGGGUUCAAUGGUUCAUCCAUGUUAGGUUUGGUAUAUGAUCAACCAGGUGGGACAUUUCUUGCCUGUGAAGUCACUAUCCCUUCAUUUUGAACUUAAGAAGACAGAUUUGAUUGAUUUACGGGGUCAUUUUUGGAUUUGUUGUAGUAGUAGUAGGGUUCAUUGUGGAGCCCAGUAAUAGGCCCAACAUACUAAUUCAGUCUCCUUGAUCCGUUGUUUCUUAUGGCCCAUUCUGUUUUGGAAAUCAAGUGGUGCCUAAUGCAGACAACAAGGAAUUACAUGCUCACUUUAGACAAAGUACCCACUAUAUGCAAAGAAAGAGGGAUCAAACACAAAUAUUUUACCCAAUAUGGAGAGCUGUUUUUAGUAGGCCCGUUAUGGCACAUAAAUGGUACGAUCUGAUCGAUCGACCAAUCAAGUUCAAAUUGAGGUCCCGGUUAUGAGAGGUAUUCUCGGCUUUUUAUUUAUAAUGUGGGGUAUUCUAUUCAUAUAUAUAUAUAUAUAUAUAGAGAGAGAGAGAGAGAGAGAGAGAGAGUUGUGAUUAGUGAGCAAACGUCUCAAGCAGCCGGCGGCACUAUCUUAGAGGUUUCUGGGGAGUUGGGUAUGCAAGUUGCAACCACAAUCUGCAAGGACCCAGCAAUGGGAAUUAGUAAGAUGACUUGGUCUUUGGCACAUGGAUAUUGUUGUUUUAGUGGGAAGAGGGUGAUGAUGUUUGCACUUGAAGAUACCAAUCUGUCAAAAGUCCGGAAAGGAAAUAAAUGAAUAGUUUUUGGUGUAACUGUUCUCCUCCUUUUGCUCUUUUUAUGCUACUUUUAACUUCUGUUUUCUCUGUGUUUCAUCAUCCAAAGUGGGGGGGUUUCCUGGAUUCAAAUGUGCAAUAAACAAUGUCCCUCUCAAUC
Rosa rugosa (rugosa rose) is the source of this 1090-nucleotide long non-coding RNA. RefSeq lists it as uncharacterized. The transcript has 3 exons. The record is from RefSeq and is a predicted model, not a curated record. Lineage: Eukaryota; Viridiplantae; Streptophyta; Magnoliopsida; Rosales; Rosaceae.